Molecule: ribosomal RNA, 468 nt
Filed under: uncultured bacterium
Lineage: Bacteria
Description: partial 16S ribosomal RNA
Rfam family: Bacterial small subunit ribosomal RNA
Source: RNAcentral
GACGAACGCUGGCGGCGUGCUUAACACAUGCAAGUCGAACGGAAAGGCCCUGCUUUUGUGGGGUGCUCGAGUGGCGAACGGGUGAGUAACACGUGAGUAACCUGCCCUUGACUUUGGGAUAACUUCAGGAAACUGGGGCUAAUACCGGAUAGGAGCUCCUGCUGCAUGGUGGGGGUUGGAAAGUUUCGGCGGUUGGGGAUGGACUCGCGGCUUAUCAGCUUGUUGGUGGGGUAGUGGCUUACCAAGGCUUUGACGGGUAGCCGGCCUGGGAGGGUGACCGGGCACAUUAGGACUGAGAUACGGCCCAGACGGCUACAGGAGGCAGCAGUGGGGAAUAUUGCACAAUGGGCGGGAGCCUGAUGCGGCAACGCCGCGUGCGGGAUGACGGCCUUCUGGUUGUAAACCGCUUUCGCCUGUGACGAAGCGUGAGUGACGGUAAUGGGUAAAGAAGCACCGGCUAACUACGUG